UUGAACGCUGGCAGCAGGCCUAACACAUGCAAGUCGAGCGCGAAAGUUCUUCGGAAUGAGUAAAGCGGCGGACGGGUGAGUAACGCGUGGGAAUCUGCCUGGUAGUGGGGGACAACGUUCGGAAACGAACGCUAAUACCGCAUACGCCCUACGGGGGAAAGGGGGGGGAUCUUCGGACCUCUCGCUAUCAGAUGAGCCCGCGUCGGAUUAGCUAGUUGGUGGGGUAAAGGCCUACCAAGGCGACGAUCCGUAACUGGUCUGAGAGGAUGAUCAGUCACACUGGAACUGAGACACGGUCCAGACUCCUACGGGAGGCAGCAGUGGGGAAUAUUGGACAAUGGGGGAAACCCUGAUCCAGCCAUGCCGCGUGUGUGAAGAAGGCCUUAGGGUUGUAAAGCACUUUCAGUGGGGAGAAAGGUUGUUUACUUAAUACGUAAGCAAAUUGAUGUUACCCACAGAAGAAGCACCGGCUAACUCCGUGCCAGCAGCCGCAGUAA
Molecule: ribosomal RNA, 497 nt
Filed under: uncultured bacterium
Lineage: Bacteria
Description: partial 16S ribosomal RNA
Rfam family: Bacterial small subunit ribosomal RNA
Source: RNAcentral